UGGGGAAUAUUGGACAAUGGGGGGAACCCUGAUCCAGCCAUGCCGCGUGUGUGAAGAAGGCCUUAUGGUUGUAAAGCACUUUAAGCGAGGAGGAGGGUACUGGUAUUAAUACUACCAGGUACUGGACGUUACUCGCAGAAUAAGCACCGGCUAACUCUGUACCAGCAGCCGCGGUAAUACAGAGGGUGCGAGCGUUAAUCGGAUUUACUGGGCGUAAAGCGUGCGUAGGCGGCUAAUUGAGUCGGAUGUGAAAUCCCCGAGCUUAACUUGGGAAUUGCAUUCGAUACUGGUUAGCUAGAGUGUGGGAGAGGAUGGUAGAAUUCCAGGUGUAGCGGUGAAAUGCGUAGAGAUCUGGAGGAAUACCGAUGGCGAAGGCAGCCAUCUGGCCUAACACUGACGCUGAGGUACGAAAGCAUGGGGAGCAAACAGG
Molecule: ribosomal RNA, 430 nt
Filed under: Pseudomonadota bacterium
Lineage: Bacteria; Pseudomonadati; Pseudomonadota
Description: Proteobacteria bacterium partial 16S ribosomal RNA
Rfam family: Bacterial small subunit ribosomal RNA
Source: RNAcentral